AGCAACAUGAGACCCGGAAUCUUGGACUUCUUCAGUAGGAUGAGGAUUGAAAGAGCUGUAGUACAAAAUAGGGUCGCCUGUAGUCAUCAUGGGUAUAGCUGGAGUGAUUACUUGGUAUGUGUUUCGCUGUCGCAAGCUAGAAAGUGCAGAUGAAAGCUGCAUGAACAGCAAGAUCAAGUCUAAGACCGAAUUCCAGGGGCAUUAACAAGGAAAUGAAAGAGCAAAAGGUUGGAAAAAAUUGGAGCUUAGUCAUUGCCUGGUCGUUGAUUUCAUUUAUUUGGAGCAAUACCGCAGCAUAGUGCUUCUUGAAAGAUUCUGAAUCUCUCAGAUUA
This 332-nucleotide long non-coding RNA is filed under the name Linum usitatissimum (flax). RNAcentral's name for it is "long non-coding RNA (LUSI_LNC001134)". The record is from RNAcentral. Lineage: Eukaryota; Viridiplantae; Streptophyta; Magnoliopsida; Malpighiales; Linaceae.